AACGAACGCUGGCGGCAGGCCUAAAACAUGCAAGUCGAACGAACCGCAAGGUUAGUGGCGCACGGGUGAGUAACACGUGGGAAUAUGCCUUUCACUACGGAACAACGUCGGGAAACUGACGCUAAUACCGUAUAAUGUCUCCGGACCAAAGAUUUAUCGGCGAAAGAUUAGCCCGCGUCUGAUUAGCUAGUUGGUGAGGUAAUGGCUCACCAAGGCGACGAUCAGUAGCUGGUCUGAGAGGAUGAUCAGCCACACUGGAACUGAGACACGGUCCAGACUCCUACGGGAGGCAGCAGUUAGGAAUAUUGGACAAUGGGGGCAACCCUGAUCCAGCCAUGCCGCGUGAGUGACGAAGGCCUUCGGGUUGUAAAGCUCUUUCGGCUGUGAAGAUAAUGACAGUAGCAGAAGAAGAAGCCCCGGCUAAAUUCGUGCCAGCCGCCGCGGUAA
Molecule: ribosomal RNA, 447 nt
Filed under: uncultured bacterium
Lineage: Bacteria
Description: partial 16S ribosomal RNA
Rfam family: Bacterial small subunit ribosomal RNA
Source: RNAcentral